AAAAUGCAAAAAGAGGAAAACAAUGGUGGACAUAUGAAAACAACAAGUAUACAUGUAAAUUAAUAAGAAGUUGCUAUUUGAGUUGAAAAAAAAAAAAGAAGAAAGAAGAAUUUAAGUUUGUGGGCAUUACAAUUCUUGAAAGCUCUCUCAUAAAAGUUUAGAUCCCAAGUAAUGUAUGUUUGGGGUUUUAUGAGCUUAAAUUUUUCUUUAUCAUACCUUGACCCUAGCCUAG
RNAcentral lists this long non-coding RNA (232 nucleotides) under Durio zibethinus. Its description in RNAcentral is "long non-coding RNA (DZIB_LNC000832)". Lineage: Eukaryota; Viridiplantae; Streptophyta; Magnoliopsida; Malvales; Malvaceae. The record is from RNAcentral.